RNAcentral lists this ribosomal RNA (460 nucleotides) under uncultured bacterium. RNAcentral's name for it is "partial 16S ribosomal RNA". It matches the Rfam family "Bacterial small subunit ribosomal RNA", at positions 338 to 795 of the family's 1533-position model. The record is from RNAcentral.
CCUACGGGUGGCAGCAGUGAGGAAUAUUGGUCAAUGGGCGCGAGCCUGAACCAGCCAAGCAGCGUGAAGGAUGACUGCCCUACGUGUUGUAAACUGCUUUUAUAAAGGAAUAAAGUCAGACACGUGUGCCUGUUUGAAUGUACUGUAUGAAUAAGGAUCGGCUAACUCCGUGCCAGCCGCCGCGGUAAUACGGAGGAUCCGAGCGUUAUCCGGAUUUAUUGGGUUUAAAGGGAGCGUAGAUGGGUUGAUAAGUUAGUUGUGAAAGUUUGCGGCUCAACCGUAAAAUUGCAAUUGAUACUGGCAGACUAGAGAAUAGUUGCGGUAGGCGGAAUUCGUGGUGUAGCGGUGAAAUGCUUAGAUAUCACGCAGAACUCCGAUUGCGAAGGCAGCUUACUAAACUGUCACUGACAUUGAUGCUCGAAAGUGUGGGUAGCAAACAGGAUUAGAUACCCUUGUAGUC